CACCGCGGUUACACGGGCGGCCCAAGUUGACACACAACGGCGUAAAGAGUGGUUAGGGAAACACAUCAACUAAAGCCGAAGACCCCCAAGACUGUGGUACGCCAUCUCGGGGGAGUGAAGAUCAACUACGAAGGUGGCUUUAUAACGCCUGACCCCACGAAAGCUAAGACC
Molecule: ribosomal RNA, 171 nt
Filed under: Psettina iijimae
Lineage: Eukaryota; Metazoa; Chordata; Actinopteri; Pleuronectiformes; Bothidae
Description: partial 12S rRNA
Source: RNAcentral